GGAUAACUAUUGGAAACGAUAGCUAAUACCGCAUAACAAUGGAUGACACAUGUCAUUUAUUUGAAAGGGGCAAUUGCUCCACUACAAGAUGGACCUGCGUUGUAUUAGCUAGUAGGUGAGGUAACGGCUCACCUAGGCGACGAUACAUAGCCGACCUGAGAGGGUGAUCGGCCACACUGGGACUGAGACACGGCCCAGACUCCUACGGGAGGCAGCAGUAGGGAAUCUUCGGCAAUGGGGGCAACCCUGACCGAGCAACGCCGCGUGAGUGAAGAAGGUUUUCGGAUCGUAAAACUCUGUUGUAAGUCAAGAACGAGUGUGAGAGUGGAAAGUUCACACUGUGACGGUAGCUUACCAGAAAGGGACGGCUAACUACGUGCCAGCAGCCGCGGUAAUACGUAGGUCCCGAGCGUUGUCCGGAUUUAUUGGGCGUAAAGCGAGCGCAGGCGGUUUGAUAAGUCUGAAGUUAAAGGCUGUGGCUCAACCAUAGUUCGCUUUGGAAACUGUCAAACUUGAGUGCAGAAGGGGAGAGUGGAAUUCCAUGUGUAGCGGUGAAAUGCGUAGAUAUAUGGAGGAACACCGGUGGCGAAAGCGGCUCUCUGGUCUGUAACUGACGCUGAGGCUCGAAAGCGUGGGGAGCGAACAGGAUUAGAUACCCUGGUAGUCCACGCCGUAAACGAUGAGUGCUAGGUGUUGGAUCCUUUCCGGGAUUCAGUGCCGCAGCUAACGCAUUAAGCACUCCGCCUGGGGAGUACGACCGCAAGGUUGAAACUCAAAGGAAUUGACGGGGGCCCGCACAAGCGGUGGAGCAUGUGGUUUAAUUCGAAGCAACGCGAAGAACCUUACCAGGUCUUGACAUCCCGAUGCUAUUUCUAGAGAUAGAAAGUUACUUCGGUACAUCGGUGACAGGUGGUGCAUGGUUGUCGUCAGCUCGUGUCGUGAGAUGUUGGGUUAAGUCCCGCAACGAGCGCAACCCCUAUUGUUAGUUGCCAUCAUUCAGUUGGGCACUCUAGCGAGACUGCCGGUAAUAAACCGGAGGAAGGUGGGGAUGACGUCAAAUCAUCAUGCCCCUUAUGACCUGGGCUACACACGUGCUACAAUGGUUGGUACAACGAGUUGCGAGUCGGUGACGGCAAGCUAAUCUCUUAAAGCCAAUCUCAGUUCGGAUUGUAGGCUGCAACUCGCCUACAUGAAGUCGGAAUCGCUAGUAAUCGCGGAUCAGCACGCCGCGGUGAAUACGUUCCCGGGCCUUGUACACACCGCCCGUCACACCACGAGAGUUUGUAACACCCGAAGUCGGUGAGGUAAC
RNAcentral lists this ribosomal RNA (1309 nucleotides) under Streptococcus salivarius. Its description in RNAcentral is "bacterial SSU rRNA". It matches the Rfam family "Bacterial small subunit ribosomal RNA", at positions 141 to 1439 of the family's 1533-position model. The record is from RNAcentral. Lineage: Bacteria; Bacillati; Bacillota; Bacilli; Lactobacillales; Streptococcaceae.